RNAcentral lists this ribosomal RNA (382 nucleotides) under uncultured eukaryote. Its description in RNAcentral is "partial 18S ribosomal RNA". It matches the Rfam family "Eukaryotic small subunit ribosomal RNA", at positions 592 to 976 of the family's 1831-position model. The record is from RNAcentral.
UGUAAGCGUAUACCAAAGUUGUUGCAGUUAAAACGCUCGUAGUCGGAAUUUGGCAGUUCCGGAUGUGUGCACGUCGUGUGCGCACUUCGCGGGGAUUGCUUUUGUGGUCUUGCGUAGGAUGAGGCACUUUUAUUAGUGAACGUCCUCACGCAACCACUUUUUACUGUGGGAAAAUCAGAGUGCUCAAAGCAGGCAUUUGCCGUGAAUGUAUUAGCAUGGAAUAAUAGAAUAGGACUUGGUUCUAUUUUGUUGGUUUGUUGGGACUGAGUAAUGAUUAAGAGGGACAGUUGGGGGCAUUUGUAUUUCGGUGCUAGAGGUGAAAUUCUUAGAUUGCCGAAAGACAAACUGCUGCGAAAGCGUCUGCCAAGGAUGUUUUCAUUGA